CGAUAGCGUAUAUUUAAGUUGUUGCAGUUAAAAAGCUCGUAGUCGGAUUUUGGCUGAGAACGAUCGGUCCGCCGUUAGGUGUGCACUGAUUGGUCUCAGCUUCCUGGUGAGGAGGUGUGCUUCACGGCCACUUAGUCACCGUGGUUACUUUGAAAAAAUUAGAGUGUUCAAAGCGGGCUUACGCUUGAAUAUAUUAGCAUGGAAUAACACCAUAGGACUCCUGUCCUAUUUCGUUGGUCUCGGGACGGGAGUAAUGAUUAAGAGGAACAGUUGGGGGCAUUCGUAUUUCAUUGUCAGAGGUGAAAUUCUUGGAUUUAUGAAAGACGAACUUCUGCGAAAGCAUUUGCCAAGGAUGUUUUCAUUAA
Molecule: ribosomal RNA, 365 nt
Filed under: uncultured eukaryote
Lineage: Eukaryota
Description: partial 18S ribosomal RNA
Rfam family: Eukaryotic small subunit ribosomal RNA
Source: RNAcentral